RNAcentral lists this ribosomal RNA (481 nucleotides) under uncultured bacterium. RNAcentral describes it as "partial 16S ribosomal RNA". It matches the Rfam family "Bacterial small subunit ribosomal RNA", at positions 30 to 506 of the family's 1533-position model. The record is from RNAcentral.
AUUGAACGCUGGCGGCAUGCCUUACACAUGCAAGUCGAACGGUAACAGGUCUUCGGAUGCUGACGAGUGGCGAACGGGUGAGUAAUACAUCGGAACGUGCCCGAUCGUGGGGGAUAACGAAGCGAAAGCUUUGCUAAUACCGCAUACGAUCUACGGAUGAAAGCAGGGGACCGCAAGGCCUUGCGCGAACGGAGCGGCCGAUGGCAGAUUAGGUAGUUGGUGGGAUAAAAGCUUACCAAGCCGACGAUCUGUAGCUGGUCUGAGAGGACGACCAGCCACACUGGGACUGAGUCACGGCCCAGACUCCUACGGGAGGCAGCAGUGGGGAAUUUUGGACAAUGGGCGAAAGCCUGAUCCAGCCAUGCCGCGUGCAGGAUGAAGGCCUUCGGGUUGUAAACUGCUUUUGUACGGAACGAAAAGACUCUGGUUAAUACCUGGGGUCCAUGACGGUACCGUAAGAAUAAGCACCGGCUAACUACGU